Passer montanus (Eurasian tree sparrow) is the source of this 1033-nucleotide long non-coding RNA. RefSeq lists it as uncharacterized. NCBI's taxonomy places the organism in Eukaryota, Metazoa, Chordata, Aves, Passeriformes, Passeridae. The transcript has 3 exons. The record is from RefSeq and is a predicted model, not a curated record.
CCUGCUUCCUGGGAUGCAGGAGGGUCCCAUAGCUCUGGGUGUUCCCAGUGGAUUGGCAGCUGGAUGGGCCAGGAAACUUGCAAGUGGAAGGAGACUGGUACAUCUCUGCACACCCAUUCACUUUUCUCCUUGAUUUUGGUGGCAUAUGGGCUUUCGACAUUUUGGAGAAGGGGCAGAAGAAAGAGAAUCACAUCUCAACCUUUAAAGGACAAGCGCCGCUGCCUUGUGAAAGCGUACUCUCAGCCUUGCUCUUCAAAGUUCAGAGCAAGAGAUGCUGCCAAGAUUUAUGCUUCUGUGGCAAAUAAUUCACAGAUGCCAACUCAUUGAAGAAUCCAAAAGCUUUGUCUUAUGCCAGGGUAACUUCAGCAGUAUUUUCCAGAGCUGUGGAUUAAGUUUGCUGAAGCAAAAAAAUGACGAUGUGUCUCAUCUAUUUCAACAGCACUGCCAGACGUUACGAUUCAUGGUGUUCCCUCUUUAAUGGCAGCUAUCUCCAAUGGGCAGUAAAGAAUGACCAAACUGACUAUCAGAUGGCAAGGAGCAGAAGCUGGAACAGCAUUUGCCUUGCUCACUUUGUACUUGACUGUGUAUCCAGGCGUUCCCGUCUAGACUUGCAGGGGUUGCUCGAGCAUUUAAUUACUUGAAUCCCAAUGAGCUGAAACUGCUUGGUUCAGGAGAUAGCAUAAUAAAGGCAUUCUCCUGUGGUGGCUAUAUCAUUUUUUUUAAGCAUUACUGAUGAGCUAGAAAUAGUCACAGAUUUUAAGUGUUGCCAAUGAUUAUAUUCAAAAAGCAUGGAAAAUAUGAGCCUAUAUUUUCUGCUACACCCAUGGUCCUUCAGGAGCAGCAAAAGAAGGGAAUGUGGGCUUCACAUGGAACUACCUAAUUCUCUGUCUGACUACACACCAGCUUUGGCCACUGUUAUGAAUUACACCAUAUAAUGGUCCCAAAAGAGGACAGUCGUGCUAAGCCCUCCCACUCCUGCAUUACUGUGUAACCACAUCAAGGAAUGUGAGACCUGACUUCAUGUUAGCUCAAG